RNAcentral lists this ribosomal RNA (484 nucleotides) under uncultured bacterium. RNAcentral describes it as "partial 16S ribosomal RNA". It matches the Rfam family "Bacterial small subunit ribosomal RNA", at positions 29 to 507 of the family's 1533-position model. The record is from RNAcentral.
AUUGAACGCUGGCGGCAUGCUUUACACAUGCAAGUCGAACGGCAGCGCGGGCUUCGGCCUGGCGGCGAGUGGCGAACGGGUGAGUAAUGCAUCGGAACGUGCCCAGUAGUGGGGGAUAGCCCGGCGAAAGCCGGAUUAAUACCGCAUACGACCUGAGGGUGAAAGCGGGGGACCGAAAGGCCUCGCGCUAUUGGAGCGGCCGAUGUCGGAUUAGCUAGUUGGUGGGGUAAAGGCUUACCAAGGCGACGAUCCGUAGCUGGUCUGAGAGGACGACCAGCCACACUGGGACUGAGACACGGCCCAGACUCCCAAGGGAGGCAGCAGUGGGGAAUUUUGGACAAUGGGGGCAAGCCUGAUCCAGCCAUGCCGCGUGGGGGAAGAAGGCCUUCGGGUUGUAAAACCCUUUUGUUCGGGAAGAAAACCUCUUGGCUAAUACCCCGGGGGGAUGACGGUACCCGAAGAAUAAGCACCGGCUAACUACGUG